UUUCGAUUCCUGGUCUUGAAUUCUCCUGCUUGAGUGAAUUCGUCCUGUUCACCUUUCCAAAGGAACUCAUCAGUAGGAUAUCUGGGGAGCCCGUCCCUGGCUUCUUCCCACUGUGUCGGGCCAUGGGGCAUUUGGAGGUGCACUGUGGUGCCCAGGCGUUUGAGUGGGAGAAGUUGCCAGCACAUUUCAGUCCAAUCAGACCCACCGGCCACCGGCCUUUGAGUGGGGAGCUGUCCCUUGUGGGUCUGACUGUCCGGGAGAGUCUGAUGAAACCCCUUUAGAACCCUGACACCAACCAGUGGACACUUUCCCCUUUUCUCUGAAGAAAAACAGGAAUGGCUUCUGAGCCAUUGUACUUAAGUGAGUCACUCCAAUAUCCUGUGUGCACUGCUCCCAGAAAUGCAGCAAACAGAACAUGUAAUGCUACAUAAAUUCCUGCGAGAAAUUUCUUUGUCCAGAAA
This is a long non-coding RNA of Cervus elaphus (red deer), 461 nucleotides long. RefSeq lists it as uncharacterized. The transcript is spliced from 2 exons. Lineage: Eukaryota; Metazoa; Chordata; Mammalia; Artiodactyla; Cervidae. The record is from RefSeq and is a predicted model, not a curated record.